Molecule: ribosomal RNA, 209 nt
Filed under: uncultured eukaryote
Lineage: Eukaryota
Also listed under: 1 other name
Description: partial 18S ribosomal RNA
Rfam family: Eukaryotic small subunit ribosomal RNA
Source: RNAcentral
UUAAAGUUGUUGCAGUUAAAAAGCUCGUAGUUGAACCUUGGGCCUGGCUGGCCGGUCCGCCUCACCGCGUGUACUGGUCCGGCCGGGCCUUUCCUUCUGGGGAACCUCAUGCCCUUCACUGGGCGUGUUGGGGAACCAGGACUUUUACUUUGAAAAAAUUAGAGUGUUCAAAGCAGGCCUUUGCUCGAAUACAUUAGCAUGGAAUAAUA